UAGGUCCCAAGGGUAUGGCUGUUCGCCAUUUAAAGUGGUACGCGAGCUGGGUUUAGAACGUCGUGAGACAGUUCGGUCCCUAUCUGCCGUGGGCGCUGGAGAACUGAGGGGGGCUGCUCCUAGUACGAGAGGACCGGAGUGGACGCAUCACUGGUGUUCGGGUUGUCAUGCCAAUGGCACUGCCCGGUAGCUAAAUGCGGAAGAGAUAAGUGCUGAAAGCAUCUAAGCACGAAACUUGCCCCGAGAUGAGUUCUCCCUGAGACUUAAAGUCUCCUGAAGGAACGUUGAAGACGACGACGUUGAUAGGCCGGGUGUGUAAGCGCAGCGAUGCGUUGAGCUAACCGGUACUAAUGAACCGUGAGGCUUAACCUUACAACGCCGAAG
Molecule: ribosomal RNA, 384 nt
Filed under: Salmonella enterica
Lineage: Bacteria; Pseudomonadati; Pseudomonadota; Gammaproteobacteria; Enterobacterales; Enterobacteriaceae
Description: partial 23S ribosomal RNA
Rfam family: Bacterial large subunit ribosomal RNA
Source: RNAcentral